UACGAAGGGUGCAAACGUUGCUCGGAAUUAUUGGGCGUAAAGCGCACGUAGGCGGCUCUGUAAGUUGGAUGUGAAAUCCCUCGGCUCAACCAAGGAAGUGCAUCCAAAACUACAGAGCUUGAGUACUUAAGAGGAUCGCGGAAUUCCCGGUGUAGAGGUGAAAUUCGUAGAUAUCGGGAGGAACACCAGUGGCGAAGGCGGCGAUCUGGGAAGAUACUGACGCUGAGGUGCGAAAGCGUGGGGAGCAAACAGG
This 253-nucleotide ribosomal RNA is filed under the name uncultured bacterium. RNAcentral's name for it is "partial 16S ribosomal RNA". It matches the Rfam family "Bacterial small subunit ribosomal RNA", at positions 524 to 776 of the family's 1533-position model. The record is from RNAcentral.